CUGCCACCUUAGAGCAGGUAUAUUUUGGAACUUCACAUCCAAGAUACUAUAUCUCUGCCAAUGUAACUGGUUUCAAAUGUGUGACAGGAAUGUCUUGUUUAAUGAGAAAAGAUGUGUUGGAUCAAGCAGGAGGACUUAUAGCUUUUGCUCAGUACAUUGCCGAAGAUUACUUUAUGGCCAAAGCGAUAGCUGACCGAGGUUGGAGGUUUGCAAUGUCCACUCAAGUUGCAAUGCAAAACUCUGGCUCAUAUUCAAUUUCUCAGUUUCAAUCCAGAAUGAUCAGGUGGACCAAACUACGAAUUAACAUGCUUCCUGCUACAAUAAUUUGUGAGCCAAUUUCAGAAUGCUUUGUUGCCAGUUUAAUUAUUGGAUGGGCAGCCCACCAUGUGUUCAGAUGGGAUAUUAUGGUAUUUUUCAUGUGUCAUUGCCUGGCAUGGUUUAUAUUUGACUACAUUCAACUCAGGGGUGUCCAGGGUGGCACACUGUGUUUUUCAAAACUUGAUUAUGCAGUCGCCUGGUUCAUCCGCGAAUCCAUGACAAUAUACAUUUUUUUGUCUGCAUUAUGGGACCCAACUAUAAGCUGGAGAACUGGUCGCUACAGAUUACGCUGUGGGGGUACAGCAGAGGAAAUCCUAGAUGUAUAACUACAGCUUUGUGACUGUAUAUAAAGGAAAAAAGAGAAGUAUUAUAAAUUAUGUUUAUAUAAAUGCUUUUAAAAAUCUACCUUCUGUAGUUUUAUCACAUGUAUGUUUUGGUAUCUGUUCUUUAAUUUAUUUUUGCAUGGCACUUGCAUCUGUG
This 798-nucleotide long non-coding RNA is filed under the name Homo sapiens (human). RNAcentral's name for it is "long non-coding RNA NONHSAT220023.1". The record is from RNAcentral. Lineage: Eukaryota; Metazoa; Chordata; Mammalia; Primates; Hominidae.